UGGGAACAUUUUUGGUGAGUUUGUUUGUGUCAAAGUCAGAGAGCCGUGUCUCUCUACAGUGAGAGGUUUUUGUACAGCGGCUCAAUGAGUUUGUAUCACUGUGGGUGACUUUUGGUGGAGGAACCAGACUGGAUGUUGGAAGUGAUGUCCGUCCCACCCUGAUGGUGCUGCCCCCCUCCAGUGAGGAGCUGCAGCAGGGGAAGGCCACGCUCAUGUGUCUGGCCAACAAGGGCUUCCCCUCAGACUGGAGUCUGGCCUGGAAGGUGGACGGCAGCAGCAGCAGCAGCAGCUGGGAGGAGAGCAGGAGCCCUGGGGUGCUGGAGAAGGACGGCCUCUACAGCUGGAGCAGCACCCUGAGGCUCCCUGCUGACCAGUGGAGGAGGUUGGGAUCUGUGACCUGUGAGGCCACCCAGGGCUCCCAGACUCCACUCUCAGAGACACUGAGGAGAGACCAGUGUUCCCAGUCCUGACCUGACUCACUGGGACUCUGCUGCUGGUUUUACUCUGCUACUGCUCUCAGUCUGCUCUCUGUCUUUCUAUCAUGUGACCAGUUUAACAGCUCUCACCUUGAAACAGCAAUGUUUUUAUUCUUGUCAUGAUGCUUAUGCUGUUAAUGCUGUAUAAUAAAACAUAAGCAAAUAAAAAACA
Epinephelus fuscoguttatus (brown-marbled grouper) is the source of this 648-nucleotide non-coding RNA. NCBI's taxonomy places the organism in Eukaryota, Metazoa, Chordata, Actinopteri, Perciformes, Serranidae. The record is from the annotation of a RefSeq genome assembly.